AGUGAACGCUGGCGGCAGGCCUAAUACAUGCAAGUCGAACGGCAGCACAGCAGAGCUUGCUCUGUGGGUGGCGAGUGGCGGACGGGUGAGGAAUACAUGGGAAUCUGCCCAGUCGUGGGGGAUAACGUAUGGAAACGUACGCUAAUACCGCAUGCGCCCUUUGGGGGAAAGCCGGGGACCUUCGGGCCUGGCGCGAUUGGAUGAGCCCAUGUUCGAUUAGCUAGUUGGCGGGGUAAAGGCCCACCAAGGCGACGAUCGAUAGCUGGUCUGAGAGGAUGAUCAGCCACACUGGGACUGAGACACGGCCCAGACUCCUACGGGAGGUAGCAGUAGGGAAUAUUGGACAAUGGGCGCAAGCCUGAUCCAGCCAUGCCGCGUGAGUGAAGAAGGCCCUCGGGUUGUAAAGCUCUUUUGUCCGGAAAGAAAAGCAUUCGGUUAAUACCCGGGUGUUCUGACGGUACCGGAAGAAUAAGCACCGGCUAACUUCGUG
RNAcentral lists this ribosomal RNA (490 nucleotides) under uncultured bacterium. RNAcentral describes it as "partial 16S ribosomal RNA". It matches the Rfam family "Bacterial small subunit ribosomal RNA", at positions 29 to 507 of the family's 1533-position model. The record is from RNAcentral.